RNAcentral lists this ribosomal RNA (955 nucleotides) under uncultured bacterium. RNAcentral describes it as "bacterial SSU rRNA". It matches the Rfam family "Bacterial small subunit ribosomal RNA", at positions 530 to 1482 of the family's 1533-position model. The record is from RNAcentral.
GGGGGCGACGUGUCGGAUUUAUUGGGCGUAAGGGCUCGUAGGCGGUUGAUCGCGUCGGAAGUGGAAACUUGAUGCUUAACGUUGAGCGUGCUUUCGAUACGGGUUGACUUGAGGAAGGUAGGGGAGAAUGGAAUUCCUGGUGGAGCGGUGGAAUGCGCAGAUAUCAGGAGGAACACCAGUGGCGAAGGCGGUUCUCUGGACCUUUCCUGACGCUGAGGAGCGAAAGCGUGGGGAGCGAACAGGCUUAGAUACCCUGGUAGUCCACGCUGUAAACGGUGGGUACUAGGUGUGGGGUCCAUUCCACGGAUUCUGUGCCGUAGCUAACGCAUUAAGUACCCCGCCUGGGGAGUACGGCCGCAAGGCUAAAACUCAAAGGAAUUGACGGGGCCCCGCACAAGCGGCGGAGCAUGCGGAUUAAUUCGAUGCAACGCGAAGAACCUUACCUGGGUUUGACAUGGAUCGGGAGCUUCCAGAGAUGGUUGUGCCUCUUUUGGGGUCGGUUCACAGGUGGUGCAUGGCUGUCGUCAGCUCGUGUCGUGAGAUGUUGGGUUAAGUCCCGCAACGAGCGCAACCCUCGUCCACUGUUGCCAGCAAUUCGGUUGGGGACUCAGUGGAGACCGCCGGGGUCAACUCGGAGGAAGGUGGGGAUGACGUCAAGUCAUCAUGCCCCUUAUGUCCAGGGCUUCACGCAUGCUACAAUGGCCGGUACAGUGAGUUGCGACAUCGUAAGGUGGAGCGAAUCUCAAAAAGCCGGUCUCAGUUCGGAUUGGGGUCUGCAACUCGACCUGGUGAAGUCGGAGUCGCUAGUAAUCGCAGAUCAGCAACGCUGCGGUGAAUACGUUCCCGGGGCUUGUACACACCGCCCGUCAAGUCAUGAAAGUCGGUAACACUCGAAGCCGGUGGCCUAACACUUUUUGUGGGGGAGCUGUCGAAAGUGGGACUGGUGAUUAGGACU